UCGUACUUGUUUAGUUCAAUAACAAACUGGUAUUUAUGUGUGCAUAUUUUGCCAAUAUAAGUCUUGACAUGCACGGUCACACUGCAAGCCGUGUCUCUUUUUCACAUUUUCUUUUGUGUAUUGUUUCUCGCUCUCGCUUGAACGGUACGGACGUGUACUGCCGCUGCGCGUGUGUGUAUUUAACUUGGCUUAAGAAAAAAAUACCUAAUUAUACAUUACACAUGUAUUUUGUUCUGAAUUAUGCAACAAAUUGCAUUCAAUACACAAGUGCAGUGGGUUUGACAUACAUACACAACGUGCGGAAUGGCAGGCGAAUGCUUUAAUAAGCAAAAUACAUAAGUUUAAUUACCGCAUGCUAAAUAUCAAACACAACGACAACAACGAAGCAAAUAUAAUUUAAGACCCAAACAGUGGGCCACAAACACCAAAA
Non-coding RNA from Drosophila virilis, 430 nucleotides. The record is from RefSeq and is a predicted model, not a curated record. NCBI's taxonomy places the organism in Eukaryota, Metazoa, Arthropoda, Insecta, Diptera, Drosophilidae.